This 497-nucleotide ribosomal RNA is filed under the name uncultured bacterium. Its description in RNAcentral is "partial 16S ribosomal RNA". It matches the Rfam family "Bacterial small subunit ribosomal RNA", at positions 28 to 507 of the family's 1533-position model. The record is from RNAcentral.
GAUGAACGCUGGCGGCGUGCCUAAUACAUGCAAGUCGAGCGAACAGAUAAGGAGCUUGCUCCUUUGACGUUAGCGGCGGACGGGUGAGUAACACGUGGGUAACCUACCUAUAAGACUGGGAUAACUUCGGGAAACCGGAGCUAAUACCGGAUAACAUUUGGAACCGCAUGGUUCUAAAGUGAAAGAUGGUUUUGCUAUCACUUAUAGAUGGACCCGCGCCGUAUUAGCUAGUUGGUAUGGUAACGGCUUACCAAGGCGACGGUACGUAGCCGACCUGAGAGGGUGAUCGGCCACACUGGAACUGAGACACGGUCCAGACUCCUACGGGAGGCAGCAGUAGGGAAUCUUCCGCAAUGGGCGAAAGCCUGACGGAGCAACGCCGCGUGAGUGAUGAAGGGUUUCGGCUCGUAAAACUCUGUUAUUAGGGAAGAACAAAUGUGUAAGUAACUGUGCACGUCUUGACGGUACCUAAUCAGAAAGCCACGGCUAACUACGUG